AGAGUUUGAUCCUGGCUCAGAACGAACGCUGGCGGCGUGGAUAAGACAUGCAAGUCGAGCGGGAUUUUCUUUGGUAGCAAUACCGGGGAAAAUUCAGCGGCGAACGGGUGCGUAACACGUGGACAAUCUGCCUUAAAGUGGGGGAUAGCUCGGCGAAAGCCGAAUUAAUACCGCAUGUGAUCAGGAGAGACAUCUUUCCGAAAUCAAAGCCGGGGCAACCUGGCGCUUUUUGUGGAGUCCGCGGCCUAUCAGCUAGUUGGUGAGGUAACGGCUCACCAAGGCUUUGACGGGUAGCUGGUCUGAGAGGACGACCAGCCACACUGGAACUGAGACACGGUCCAGACACCUACGGGUGGCAGCAGUCGAGAAUUUUUCUCAAUGGGGGAAACCCUGAAGGAGCGACGCCGCGUGGAGGAUGAAGGUCUUCGGGUUGUAAACUCCUGUCAUUUGGGAACAAGUGGUCGAACGUAACUGCUUCGGCCUUGAUAGUACCAGAAGAGGAAGAGACGGCUAACUCUGUGCCAGCAGCCGCGGUAAUACAGAGGUCUCAAGCGUUGUUCGGAUUCAUUGGGCGUAAAGGGUGCGUAGGUGGCGUCGUAAGUCGGGUGUGAAAUUUCGGAGCUUAACUCCGAAACUGCAUUCGAUACUGCGGUGCUUGAGGACUGGAGAGGAGACUGGAAUUUACGGUGUAGCAGUGAAAUGCGUAGAGAUCGUAAGGAAGACCAGUGGCGAAGGCGGGUCUCUGGACAGUUCCUGACACUGAGGCACGAAGGCCAGGGGAGCAAACGGGAUUAGAUACCCUAGUAGUCC
This 810-nucleotide ribosomal RNA is filed under the name uncultured bacterium. Its description in RNAcentral is "bacterial SSU rRNA". It matches the Rfam family "Bacterial small subunit ribosomal RNA", at positions 8 to 796 of the family's 1533-position model. The record is from RNAcentral.